RNAcentral lists this ribosomal RNA (476 nucleotides) under uncultured bacterium. RNAcentral's name for it is "bacterial LSU rRNA". It matches the Rfam family "Bacterial large subunit ribosomal RNA", at positions 1054 to 1528 of the family's 2925-position model. The record is from RNAcentral.
AUAAGUUAAGUUGAACAAACGAAGUGGAGAUGCUAUGACAGCUAGGAUGUUGGCUUGGAAGCAGCCAUUCAUUUAAAGAGUGCGUAACAGCUCACUAGUCGAGCGUUUCUGCGCGGAAAAUGAUCGGGCAUCAAACUUAUCACCGAAGCUAUGGAUUGAUUUCUUUUAGAAAUCACUGGUAGGGGAGCAUUCCAGCGACAUUGAAGUUGUAUCGUGAGAUAUGGUGGAGUUUCUGGAAAAGAAAAUGUAGGCAUAAGUAACGAUUAAAUAAGUGGAAAACUUAUUCGCCGUAAGACUAAGGGUUCCUCGAUCUAUGCUAAUCAGAUCAGGGUUAGUCGGGUCCUAAGGUAUAGCCGAGAGGCGAAGCCGAUGGCAAGCUGGUUAAUAUUCCAGCACCUGUGUAUAUUGCGAUGGGGUGACGAAGGAGCGUAAAGUCCGCCAACUUACGGAAUAGUUGGUUAAAGUGCGUAGGUGUU